UGAACGCGAAGAACCUUACCAACCCUUGACAUGGGGAGUAUGGGCCUGAGAGAUCGGGUCCUUCAGUUCGGCUGGCUCCCACACAGGUGCUGCAUAGAUAUAGACAGCUCGUGUCGUGAGAUGUUGGGUUAAGUCCCGCAACGAGCGCAACCCUCCUCUUCAGUUGCCAGCAUUGAGUUGGGCACUCUGGAGAUACUGCCGGUGACAAGCCGGAGGAAGGCGGGGAUGACGUCAAGUCCUCAUGGCCCUUACGGGUUGGGCUACACACGUGCUACAAUGGCGGUGACAGUGGGCAGCGAAGGGGCGACCUGGAGCUAAUCCCCAAAAGCCGUCUCAGUUCGGAUUGCACUCUGCAACUCGAGUGCAUGAAGUUGGAAUCGCUAGUAAUCGCGGAUCAGCACGCCGCGGUGAAUACGUUCCCGGGUCUUGUACACACGCA
Molecule: ribosomal RNA, 439 nt
Filed under: bacterium CPTAC15D
Lineage: Bacteria
Description: bacterial SSU rRNA
Rfam family: Bacterial small subunit ribosomal RNA
Source: RNAcentral